GUCAGGAGACAUACCAGCUGCAGUUUAGCAUAGGUAAUCCAUCUGAAGCUAAGCAGGUUUGGGCCUGGUCAGUACCUGGAUGCCAGACCAAGGAAAGCUGGGUUGCUGCUGGAA
Molecule: ribosomal RNA, 114 nt
Filed under: Paramormyrops kingsleyae
Lineage: Eukaryota; Metazoa; Chordata; Actinopteri; Osteoglossiformes; Mormyridae
Source: RNAcentral